AAGAUAGUGAGAAUGGAAAAGAAGUUCCUAAGGAAAAGAAGAUGAAGCUGAAGAAUAUAUCAUGGGCCAUAGCAAGUUUAACACUAAAACGCACUUCAGCACCAGACUCGAAUGAGUUAGAUACAAACAUACCUCCUAUAAAUCUCGAUUUGAGUCAGUUUAAUGGGUCCAUGAGGAGAGCAAUGGAUGAAGCUGAUAAGAAUUGCUGGU
This is a non-coding RNA of Erythranthe guttata (spotted monkey flower), 210 nucleotides long. Lineage: Eukaryota; Viridiplantae; Streptophyta; Magnoliopsida; Lamiales; Phrymaceae. The record is from RefSeq and is a predicted model, not a curated record.